This 3068-nucleotide long non-coding RNA is filed under the name Salmo salar (Atlantic salmon). Its description in RNAcentral is "lncRNA (ENSSSAG00000082959.1, ENSSSAG00000092730.1)". The record is from RNAcentral. Lineage: Eukaryota; Metazoa; Chordata; Actinopteri; Salmoniformes; Salmonidae.
GUCCAGAUCAUGUUUUCAGGUUCAGAACACAAUUUCAUGCGUCUGAAAGUACAAUAUUCAAAAGUUCUCAUCGCUUGAUGUACAUUUUUACACGUGAUUCUUCAGCAUGUCCUUUCUGCCAUGAACAGGUGAAUAAAGUGCCUAUCUUCUUAAUUUCACACGUUUUGAAAUGAAGCAUUUCUUUACACCUGAUUUUUUUUUUCUCACCUUUUUGUUUUUGCUUUUACAACUGUAGAAAACGCGUGACAAAUGUGAAGGUUUUUUUUUCAAAGUAGGAAAAUGCUAUAGAUGAUUUUCUCUGCCCCAAAAGCCUUUAUAUUUAGAAAAACUAAUGUUUAUAUAGAAGUCCAUUCAUUGAUUCCUUCAAGUAAGCUUAUGAUCGGAAAAACAUCGACAGAGGAGCUCCUUCUCUAACGUUAACAAUCUGUAAGUGUGCAAUUUUAUUUCCAGAUUCUAGAUAUAUAUUUAUACAUUCCAUCAUGGUUUUACAACUAGUACAGUAUAGCGUUUAUGGAUGUGUAUUUAUCUUCCGAAAGUCCGCUAGCAUGUUGUGCUAUAAGCUUCCCAUACUAUUGUAUUUUAGUUAGCUAAGUUAGCUGUCUUUUAUACUGACUAACGUUAGGCAAGAGGGUGUUGUACCUAGUUUGUUUACUCAUGUCAUAGUGAAAACGUCGCCCUUUUCUGACAAGUCAUUUCAUGCCAACUGUCAGCCCAGGAACUUGUGAUAUAAAUCCAUGUCGUCAUCGUUAUGUUACUGAAACUAACGUUGCUAUCUAUUUCAUGCCUGCUAGUUAACAGUACAAUGUUAGCUAUUUUGUGUGCUAACCCAGCUUCCUAUUUAUUUUUCAAAGGCAGGAUGGAGACACUGGGAUGUAUGUCAGAGACCCAUACAGUAGUAACCCCGCCGUAGGCUUGCUUGACAUCUACCAAGAGGUCUGGACCUUUAUGGCUCAGAAAGAACAGGAUAGGUCUAAACAAAGAUACUGGUCAUAUAGCUUUUGUCAAGUGUGUUUAAACUACACUGAUCCAGGGCAAGCAGCCCUGGUCCCACUCCUCUCCCUCAAUCACUACAGUGGCAUUACUUGAACUUCUAUCGCUCCUGUAGCACCAGCAGGUUGGAGAUGUGGACACCACCAUUCCCAUUAUGUACCGCUUCUGUUUUUCAUUUCUUUCUACUUGGAACUGUGGUUCACACAUGUUAUGUUGUCUAAUUCCAGGUGCAUACAGGAAGAAUUUUAUUUUUGUAUACUCCCAUUUUAUUAUAGUGGUCUUUCCACAUGUCAUAAAUAGAGUAGAUGGUUAAAGGGCAUUCCUUUCGUUUGACAUGUGUGCUCAAAGUGUUUAAUCUCUGUCAUUGUGUUUUACAGCAAUCUUCUUCAACGUGGUGACGUGGAACAACCUGAAUUUUUAUUUCUGUUGGUAAGGUAUGGCUUGUGUGAGGUGGUGGGAUUUGUGUGAGUUUAUUUUUUGGUUGUUGAUGAUGAUGAUGAUGACCAGGAGGUGGAUGGCAAAGGGGAGAUCAGAAAAGGUCCUAACCACUAGGUGGUUCUGGAAUCCUGGGAAGGGGGUGCCCUUUAACCAUCUACUCUGUGUUGAUCAAGGUGUUUAUAUGUUGUUUGUUGGGGUGGUUGUGUAGUCUAGAAGGGGGUGCCCGGCCGUGUUGAUCAAGGUGUUUAUAUGUUGUUGUUUGUUGGGGUGGUUGUGUAGUCUAGAAGGGGGUGCCCGGCCGUGUUGAUCAAGGUGUUUAUAUGUUGUUUGUUGGGGUGGUUGUGUAGUCUAGAAGGGGGUGCCCGGACGUGUUGAUCAAGGUGUUUAUAUGUUGUUUGUUGGGGUGGUUGUGUAGUCUAGAAGGGGGUGCCCGGACGUGUUGAUCAAGGUGUUUAUAUGUUGUUGUUUGUUGGGGUGGUUGUGUAGUCUAGAAGGGGGUGCCUGGCCGUGUUGAUCAAGGUGUUUAUAUGUUGUUGUUUGUUGGGGUGGUUGUGUAGUCUAGAAGGGGGUGCCCGGCUGUGUUGAUCAAGGUGUUUAUAUGUUGUUUUUUGGGGUGGUUGUGUAGUCUAGAAGGGGGUGCCCGGCCGUGUUGAUCAAGGUUUGCCUGUUCACUCAUCCAGAAGGCGAGGUCAGUACAGAUGCAUCUAAGCUGGGACCGAGAGACUGAAAAACAGCUUCUAUCUCAAGGCCGUCAGACUGUUAAACAGCCAUCACUAACAUACAGUGGCUGCUGCCAACAUACUGACUCAACUCAAGCCACUUUAAUAAUGAAAAAUGUAUGUAAUAAAUGUAUCGCUAGCCACUUUAAACAAUGCCACUUUAUAUAAUGUUUACAUAUCCUACAUUACUCAUGUCAUAUGUAUAUACUGUACUCUAUAUCAUCUACUGCAUCUUGCCAUCUUGAUGUAAUAAAUGUAUCACUAGCCACUUUAAUCAAUGCCACUUUAUAUAAUGUUUACAUACCCUACAUUACUCAUCUCAUAUGUAUAUACUGUACUCUAUACCAUCUACUGCAUCUUGCCUAUGCCGUUCGGCCAUCGCUCAUUCAUAUAUUUUUAUGUACAUAUUCUUAUUCAUUCCUAUACACUUGUGUGUAUAAGGUAGUUAUUGUGAAAUUGUUAGAUAUUACUGCAUGGUCAGAACUAGAAGCACAAGCAUUUCCCUACACUCGCAUUAACAUCUGCUAACCAUGUGUAUGUGACAAAUAAAAUAAGAUUUGAGGUGUUAAAAUGUUUUUUGGGUUGUUUUUUUUUGGUGCGGUUGGUGAAUAUUUUACCCAUUGCCACUCAUUUUACCUGUAGGUAGGUAUUACUGUUCAAUUCAAAGUAAUUCAGAGUAAGUGAGUUCCAGUAAUCGUAGUAGAUGAUGGUCUGGUCUGCCUGGUUGUGGGGUAUUGUAGUAGUUGAUGGUCUGCCUGGUUGUGGGGUAUUGUAGUAGUUGAUGGUCUGUCUGGUUGUGGGGUAUUGUAGUAGUUGAUGGUCUGUCUGGUUGUGGGGUAUUGUAGUAGUUGAUGGUCUGUCUGGUUGUGGGGUAUUGUAGUAGUUGAUGGUCUGGUCUGGUUGUGGGGUAUUGUAGUAGUU